CUUCUGAAUUCGGCCGCGCCUCCCUUCUUCAGAAGCCUUCUCCUUCUCCUCUCAAAAUCAUGAAAGCUUUUUGCCCUAACUAUGAGAGUUUAGGGUUUGUCUUUUAUAUACUUACAAUGUCAAAUGACGAACAAUUGCCACUUGCAAUACAAGAAGGAAUUGAUAGUUCUCAACCUAUUGAACUGACAAUUGGAAGCACUAGUACUGGAAUGCAAGGUUGACCGUAAGAUUAUAUCCAUAGUAUUUUGUUUCCUAAGAGCAAAGACUUUGCAGGACGGCAAGAGAGAGCUGUCGUUGAUCUGGAAAUGUGUUAUACCAAGGCAACUAUACGUCAAUUUCUGUUGAACUCUUUACACAAUUUAAAUAUAAGACCAAAUUUUUACUCAAAAAAGAGAUUGUGGGCACUCUAUAUUGGAAACUUCAAGUUUUAUAGGUUGGUGUUUAUAUUAUCUACUGAA
Molecule: long non-coding RNA, 458 nt
Organism: Phalaenopsis equestris
Lineage: Eukaryota; Viridiplantae; Streptophyta; Magnoliopsida; Asparagales; Orchidaceae
Exons: 3
Source: RefSeq, a predicted model, not a curated record